RNAcentral lists this signal recognition particle RNA (101 nucleotides) under Candidatus Cryptobacteroides excrementipullorum. RNAcentral's name for it is "Bacteroidales small SRP". It matches the Rfam family "Bacteroidales small SRP", at positions 8 to 103 of the family's 107-position model. From Rfam's summary of the family: The non-coding component of the signal recognition particle in Bacteroides The record is from RNAcentral. Lineage: Bacteria; Pseudomonadati; Bacteroidota; Bacteroidia; Bacteroidales.
AACGGGUAAGUCAUACACGACCAGCUCCCUUUGAAUUCCCCCAGGACCGGAAGGUAGCAAGGGUAGGAGGUUGUAGCGGUGCGAUGUAUUCAGCUUACCCU